RNAcentral lists this ribosomal RNA (1284 nucleotides) under Triticum aestivum (bread wheat). Its description in RNAcentral is "partial small subunit ribosomal RNA". The record is from RNAcentral. Lineage: Eukaryota; Viridiplantae; Streptophyta; Magnoliopsida; Poales; Poaceae.
AUGGGGAGGGAGAGGCGGAGAUGUUGCCGCCCAUUGUCCAUGUGGUGGCUAUAUAUGCACAGUGACACACAGUUUGCAAAGGAACCGGAGCCCAGCACAGCCAGUUUCAUCUCAACGAGAUACGCUAAGGGCGAGUUUGGUUGCCUGCAUCGAGGCCAACCAGACCCGCGCGGUGCAGCAUCUUUUCGGGCCUCGGUUGUUUGGUUUCCGCAUACACUGUUCAGUCCGCAUAGCACGGUUCUUAAAGUACCCCUGGACCUGGCCCGUUGGGAACGGCCGAAUCGGCAGUUUCCCGAGAGCCAGGCCCGAGCGAUGCUUCGAGACGCACUUGGGUGGCUCUCUGAAGACGUGUGUCUCGAGUUAAUCCCUUUCUCUCUCCUUAAUCCUCAAUCCCCUCUCUCUCCCUCCACUCCAGUGCGCGUUGAUCCCGUCCGUCGGCGCCCGCGGCGACGGCGACGACUGGUGCAGCCGAGAGCCCACACGUCGGACGCCGGCCCCUGCUCCUCGCCGCGCGCGACCUCCAGCGCCAUGAACGCCCGCGUGCCGCCCAUCGGGAGCAAGGAGUCCACGGCCCUCGCGCAGCCGAAGUCCGUAGGCCCGGAUGGCGGACUCCGGGAGGCAGCCUCCGUUCCUGACGGCCUCGUCGGCGAGCGAGUCGCCGGGCACGACCUCGAGGAAGUGGGAGCCGAGGCAGGGGAUGGAGUGCGUCGAGUACCAGCUCUUCCAGGCCAGUCUGCUGGUUGCAGGUUGAGCUCGAUGCAGGCAGGGGAUGAUGUGCGGCGAGCGCGCUCCGCGAGGCGUUCGUGCAGGGCAUGCAGUCCCUGCCCUGCGCGUCCGGCAUCUCGCUCUUCGACACCUGCUACGACCUCGCCGGUGCCCGCGGUGGCGCUGCGGUUCGAGGGCGGCGGGGAGCUGAAGCUGCCGGCGAAGAACUACCUGAUCCCGGUGGACGGGGCCGGGACCUACUGCCUGGCGUUCGCGGGGACGAGCGGGCCCGUGUCCAUCAUCGGCAACGUGCAGCAGCAGAGCGUGUGCGUCAGCUUCGACACAGCCAAGAACACCGUCAGCUUCACCGCCGACAAUCAGCUCAAACUCGUCCACGACCGCGGCGAGCCGGGCGCAGCCACGGCCACGGCGUCGAGCUGGGCGCGGCCACGGCCGCCGGGAGCUGGUGGUGGACACGAUGGGCAGUGGAAGCUCCGGCGCACUCAAGCCCUGCUCAGCCUGGCUCGUUUUUCCCCUCUGAGCCAGGCCCGACAGCGAAAGCAACCAAACACGCCCUAA